AUUGAACGCUGGCGGCAUGCCUAACACAUGCAAGUCGAACGGUAACGGACCGCUGGGAUUCCUUCGGGAUGACCUUGGUGCCGACGAGUGGCGGACGGGUGAGUAACACUUGGGAAUCUGCCCAGUAGUGGGGGACAACAUUCGGAAACGGAUGCUAAUACCGCAUACGCCCUAUGGGGGAAAGUGGGGGAUCUUCGGACCUCACGCUAUUGGAUGAGCCCAAGUCGGAUUAGCUUGUUGGUGGGGUAAUGGCUCACCAAGGCGACGAUCCGUAGCUGGUCUGAGAGGAUGAUCAGCCACACUGGGACUGAGACACGGCCCAGACUCCUACGGGAGGCAGCAGUGGGGAAUAUUGGACAAUGGGCGCAAGCCUGAUCCAGCAACGCCGCGUGGAGGAAGAAGGCCUUCGGGUCGUAAACUCCUGUCAGUUGGGACGAAAAGCCAUCGGUGAAUACCCGGUGGUUAUGACGGUACCAGCAGAGGAAGCCCCGGCUAACUCCGUG
RNAcentral lists this ribosomal RNA (503 nucleotides) under uncultured bacterium. RNAcentral describes it as "bacterial SSU rRNA". It matches the Rfam family "Bacterial small subunit ribosomal RNA", at positions 30 to 507 of the family's 1533-position model. The record is from RNAcentral.